UACGUAGGGCGCAAGCGUUGUCCGGAAUUAUUGGGCGUAAAGAGCUCGUAGGCGGCCUGUUACGUCUGCUGUGAAAUCCCGGGGCUUAACCCCGGGCGUGCAGUGGAUACGGGCAGGCCGGAGGCAGGCAGGGGAGAACGGAAUUCCCGGUGUAGCGGUGAAAUGCGCAGAUAUCGGGAGGAACACCGGUGGCGAAGGCGGUUCUCUGGGCCUGUACUGACGCUGAGGCGCGACAGCGUGGGGAGCAAACAGG
This 253-nucleotide ribosomal RNA is filed under the name uncultured bacterium. Its description in RNAcentral is "partial 16S ribosomal RNA". It matches the Rfam family "Bacterial small subunit ribosomal RNA", at positions 524 to 776 of the family's 1533-position model. The record is from RNAcentral.